Molecule: small RNA, 125 nt
Filed under: Marmota monax (woodchuck)
Lineage: Eukaryota; Metazoa; Chordata; Mammalia; Rodentia; Sciuridae
Source: RNAcentral
GCCAGGUAUGGUGGCGCAUGCCUAUAAUCCCAGCAGCAUGGGAGGCUGAGGCAGGAGGAUCACGAGUUCAAAGCCAGCCUCAGCAAUGGUGAGGUGCUAAGCAACAGAGUGAGACCCUGUCUCUA